This is an RNA transcript of Capsicum annuum, 3901 nucleotides long. RefSeq lists it as uncharacterized. The record is from RefSeq and is a predicted model, not a curated record. Lineage: Eukaryota; Viridiplantae; Streptophyta; Magnoliopsida; Solanales; Solanaceae. The transcript is spliced from 4 exons.
CAUUUAGGUUCUUAUGUCUCUAACUUUUGAUGACUUUCUCGAAGUUGUAUUUUUUUGGGGAAAAUAUAUUUUUAGGAAAUAAUUUAGUGAUAUUGAUGCAAAUAUUAACUUAUUUAGUUAUGCAUGUACAACGUGUUUGUUGGAUUUUUGUCGAUUUUUCGCAUAUAUUGUUAUUAUUGUUACGGUGUUGUAGUAGCAUAUGUAGUUGUAACUUAAUUCUUUUUGGGUGUGGAUCAAGUGAGGGUAGGGUUGGGUGUUGAGGGUGUGGGGUCCACUUGUAUUAUUUAAUAUGCAAAAAAUAAUGCUCUUAAAGUUUCGACUAUUGAGUUUUCUCUUUGUUUACUGAUUUCAAUGUGUUUGUGUGGUUGAAUUGUUGCUUUUUCAGAAAUCUUUCAAUGUCUUUUGAUCUUGUAACUUUAAGAUGGUAUCAUAGGGUGAAAUAGAAUUUGGUCCCCCACCUGAAUAUAUUGGUGGGUCUGUGACUGAGCUUUUCGAUAAAGAUAUUGAUAUAAUGUCCUACUUUGAGUUAAGAGACUACAUAAAAUAUCCAGGAUAUACAACCUAGUGUGAUUUCUUUGUUAAAUGAAAUGGUUAUUUGGUAGAAAUUAAAUAUGAUAAAGUUAUUUGUGACAUUGUUAGCAAGUUAAAAAAUAGGGUUGAACUUGAGGUGUAUGUUUCACAUGGGGUGAGUGAACCAGUUCAAAACCCACUUGAAUUAGAGUAUGUCCCCAAUAUAAGUGACAAUGGGGUAGGUGAGAAAUAUUUGAACCCUAUAUAUGAAGGUGAUGCUUAUAGCCCUAAUUUUUAGACUUGUACUUUCAAUUUUCCUUCCAACCCUCCUGACAAGCCUCCUCCUUCUAAUAUACCUUCCAACUCUUUUGACCCUACAGUAGAUGAGAAUCCAAGCGAUGAUGAUUUAGAGGAUAAUUCAAAUUUAGAAGGGAAUAAUAGUGGAGACAGUGAUGUCCAUCAAGAAUAUAUUGAUAUAAGGGCUAGUAAAAUACAUUUCAAUAGGUCACAAAGAAGAAGUAGAGGACAACAGAUGAACAGGUUAAUAUUGGUGAAAAAGAUCCAGAUAUAGGGUAUGAUGAGACAAAUGUUAGCACUAGGGAUAGCCUAGUUGGUAAACCAGGAGGUGAUAAACCUUACAACCUAAGUGAUGAAGCUCUUAGCUUUGAAUUAGAUGGUGAAGUAAGUUGGGGAGAUGGUGUGGUUGAUGAAGUAGUGCAACAACCUAUGAGAAAAAAGAACAAAAACAACAGAGUUAUUUUUGAUGAAACUUGUGAAAAAAUUAUUUGAGAAUUAGGAUUGGUUUUUUCAAGUGUAAAGAAAUUUAGGCUGGUAGUAACCAGAUAUGCAAUUCAAGAAAAGUUUUAAAUUGAAAAGUAUGUGAAUGAGCCUGACAGAGUUAGAGUGAGAUGUUGUAAAGACACUUAUCCUUGGUUGUUAUGUGCUAGCAAGGAUAAGAGCAGUGGAGAUUUUAUUGUUAAAUGAUACAAUGCUAUUCAUAUUUAUUUGAGAUCAACUUUUAACUAUCUUUGCAACUCAAAGUUUUUGGAAAGUAAGUAUAAAGACAGAAUUAAUCAACAACCAAACAUUAGAGUUGUCCAGUUACAGUAGAUUAUUAGAAAGGAAUUGGAUAUCUAUGUUGGUAGGACAACUGUAAGAAGAUCUAUGUCUAAAGUGCUACAAGAGAUUAUGGGUGAUCACACUAAAGGUGUAUGGUAGGAGUUUUUAUUACAGGGAUGAGAUUUUGAGGACUAAUCCAGGUAGCACUUAUGUUGUCAAGGUUGGAGAUGCUGAUAAGACUGUAAAAUUAAUAUUUUAGGGUUUUUAUGUGUGCUUUCAUGAUUUAAAGAAAUCAUUAUUUGGAGGUUCAAGAAGGUUGAUUGGUUUGGACGGUUGUUUCCUCAAAGGUGUCUGCAAAGGUCAAUUGUUGGUGGCUGUUUACAGAGAUGAAAAUAACCAAAUACUGCCUAUUACAUGGGCAGUUAUUGAGGUUGAGAAUCAAUUUACAUGGGGGAUUUCUUGAACUGCUGAAGAAUGACCUUGAUCUUGGAGAAGGUCAUCAAUUGAGCAUCAUAUCUGAUAUGCAAAAGGGACUGAAAAUAGCUGUAAUAUAGUUGCUGACACUGGUUGAACACAGAAAGUGUGCAAGACAUGCUCUUGAUAAUUGGUCUAAAAUCUGAAAAAGGAUAGAAAGAAGAAAAGUAUUUUGAAAGAUUGCAAAAUCCACAUUUGAAGCAGAACUGAAGGAGAAUAUAAAAUUAAUGAAGAUGUUGGGGAGGGAUUGUUUGGAUGAUGUUUUAUGAUAUAAUUUGGAGACAUGAUGAAAAAGAUACUUUGAAAAGCAUUGCAAAUAUGAUGUUGUGAAAAGUAAUAUGGCAGAGAGUUUUAAUGCAUGGGUACUUCCUGCAAGGUUCAAAAUAAUUAUCACAAUGCUUGAGGAGAUUAGGGUGAAGAUGAUGAAAAAAAUUGGUGAGUUGAGACAGCUUUCAAAUACUUGGAUCACUGAUAUUCUCUCAUGACUUUGAAGAUUUUACAAGAAAAUAUUGUUAAGACAAUGCAAUGCAAUUCAUCUUGGAAUAGGGAAAGGGGUUUUGAGAUUGUUGACAAGGGUUGUACCAUACUAUUGACAUUGUUAAUAGGAGUUGCAGUUACAGAGUUUGGCAGCUUAGGGGCAUUACUUGUCUUCAUAGUGUUACUACCCUUCACCAUAAGGGAUAUGAGCCCAUUAAUUUUGCGGACACCUGCUAUUACAAGCCUCAGUACAUAUGCCUAUUUUAUUCAGCCAAUGAAUAACAUGAAAAUGUGUUCGACAUCAAUUAAUCCUACUGUAAGCCACUAAAAAUUAGAAACCUGCCUGGAAGACCAAGUAAAUUUAGAAGAAAAGAGGCUGAUGAAAGUAGAAAAAAGUGAAAAACUUAGAAAAUGUGGGACUGCAAUUACUUGUAGUAAAUGUGGUACAUAAGGACAUAACAAAAGAACAUGUCCUACAAGAGAUCAAUCUGAUACAAGUCAAUCAGCUACAACAUCUUCGUAGGAAUAAGUAUUUUUAUAAUCAUUAUCUAAUGUAUAUUCUAUUAAGUACAAGGAAUAAUCUUUUAAAACACAGGCUGGAGCUUCUAAUGGUAGAGGAAGAGGGAGAGAAAGGGGCAGUGGUCCAAGUCAUGUAGCUGGAACAUCGUAUCAGCAAAAGGUUUCUAUAAGUGGUCGAGGAAAGGGUAGUGGGAGAGAAAGAGAAAUGAAUCAAGAGAGCCAAACUAAUUUUGGCAUUAAAAGGGGAGUAGGAAGGGGAAAGCCUCCUCAAAGACAAGACUAUGAGGACAGUAGUGGAGGAUAUACAAGACCUUAUAAAAGACCAAGGAUGGUAGGGAUUGGAAUAUACCAAGCUGAAGAUGGCUUUACCCCUCUUAAUCCUGAAAUGUUAAGUAGAAGAGUUAUUAUCACUAGUGCCAAGGUCACAAAGAAGUCUGAUAUUGUGACUAGUGAUAUUGGCUACACACUAAGAUAAGGAUUUAAAUGGAAAAGGAAGUCGGCCAUUACUAAUAGCAAAUGUGAAAGAAUGAGGGCUGAAAAGAUUAUUCAAACGAGGUCUGCAGCUGCUGCCAAAACUCAAGGCAAAAAUAGUUCAACUAGGAAGAUUCAUGUGUCAUGGAAGUAGGACAUCUUGCUGAUAUGAUGUGUAUACAUUGGUGGAGAUUGUUGAUAUUGUCUCAAACAAUUAGUUUUUAUAUAUUUUAUUGUUGGUGAUGGCAUUUUGCUAUUACUUUAUAGAAAUCAAACAAUGUUUUGGGUAGUUUGUUUUGUUAGGUACUUUUAAGUAUUAAGGUAUGUUUUGUUAGGUACCAAACAAAACAAGCUUUGUAGUUUAAAUUGAAAUAAUGAAUAUGUUGAAAUG